GCUUUCAACAUCCCCGUCCGGCGCCCUCUAGGGCGAGCUGGACUGAAGGC
Molecule: small RNA, 50 nt
Filed under: unclassified sequences
Description: NAD+-I sequence
Rfam family: nadA riboswitch
Source: Rfam by way of RNAcentral